RNAcentral lists this ribosomal RNA (356 nucleotides) under uncultured eukaryote. Its description in RNAcentral is "SSU rRNA". It matches the Rfam family "Eukaryotic small subunit ribosomal RNA", at positions 587 to 972 of the family's 1831-position model. The record is from RNAcentral.
AGCUCCAAUAGCGUAUAUUAAAGUUGUUGCAGUUAAAAAGCUCGUAGUCGAAUUUCUGUCUACUAACGGCUGGCUGAACUUUCAGCUUGGUAGUUGUAGGCAUCCUUCUAGGUCUCCUUAACGGGAGUAGCUUAGAGCCUUUACUUUGAGAAAAUUAGAGCGUUCCAAGCAAGCGAUUGCUUUGAAUACUACAGCAUGGAAUAAUAUUAUAGGACUUUUUACCUAUUUUUUGGUUUAGGUUGGAAGUAAUGAUUAAUAGGGACAGUUGGGGGCAUUCGUAUUUGACAGUCUGAGGUGAAAUUCUUGGAUUUGUCAAAGACGAACUACUGCGAAAGCAUUUGCCAAGGACGUUCUCA